UGAUGACUCUGGUUAUCUAUCCCCGUAG
Molecule: non-coding RNA, 28 nt
Filed under: Mus musculus (house mouse)
Lineage: Eukaryota; Metazoa; Chordata; Mammalia; Rodentia; Muridae
Source: RNAcentral